This 462-nucleotide ribosomal RNA is filed under the name uncultured bacterium. RNAcentral describes it as "partial 16S ribosomal RNA". It matches the Rfam family "Bacterial small subunit ribosomal RNA", at positions 28 to 507 of the family's 1533-position model. The record is from RNAcentral.
GACGAACGCUGGCGGCGUGCUUAACACAUGCAAGUCGAACGGAAAGGCCCUUCGGGGUACUCGAGUGGCGAACGGGUGAGUAACACGUGGGUGAUCUGCCCUGCACUUUGGGAUAAGCCUGGGAAACUGGGUCUAAUACCUAAUAUGAUCAUCGGCUUCAUGGUCGGUGGUGGAAAGCUUUUGCGGUGUGGGAUGGGCCCGCGGCCUAUCAGCUUGUUGGUGGGGUAAUGGCCUACCAAGGCGACGACGGGUAGCCGGCCUGAGAGGGUGACCGGCCACACUGGGACUGAGAUACGGCCCAGACUCCUACGGGAGGCAGCAGUGGGGAAUAUUGCACAAUGGGCGCAAGCCUGAUGCAGCGACGCCGCGUGAGGGAUGACGGCCUUCGGGUUGUAAACCUCUUUCAGCACAGACGAAGCGCAAGUGACGGUAUGUGCAGAAGAAGGACCGGCCAACUACGUG